UACGGAGGAUCCGAGCGUUAUCCGGAUUUAUUGGGUUUAAAGGGUGCGUAGGCGGCCUAUUAAGUCAGGGGUGAAAGACGGUAGCUUAACUAUCGCAGUGCCUUUGAUACUGAUAGGCUUGAAUGUACUUGAGGUAGGCGGAAUGUGACAAGUAGCGGUGAAAUGCAUAGAUAUGUCACAGAACACCAAUUGCGAAGGCAGCUUACUAAAGUAUGAUUGACGCUGAGGCACGAAAGCGUGGGUAGCAAACAGG
This 253-nucleotide ribosomal RNA is filed under the name uncultured bacterium. RNAcentral describes it as "partial 16S ribosomal RNA". It matches the Rfam family "Bacterial small subunit ribosomal RNA", at positions 524 to 776 of the family's 1533-position model. The record is from RNAcentral.